CUCAAACCUGCAGAUUGUUGGUUGGACAUGAGGGGGAGCUGCGGCUCAUCUGCAGGUAAUGGCGCCCUCUGCUGGCUGCUCUGGAAACCUGCAGGCUGCUGGUGCUCUGCUGCCGACAGAGUUUCCUCACUGACUGUGAAAGGGAAGCUGCUGCCGCCUGAAUCAGACGCAGCUGAAACACUCACACUGGUGUUCAACACAUACGAGCAGCCGGGAUCCUCACUCAAAGGAUUCUGGGUACUGUGGGAGCCAUGUUGGAGCUGUGGCUCGUACAUCAGGCAGUCAUAACUGCUGGUUUCUGACCUCUGGCUGGCGUUCAGGGUUUUUUGGAUGGACAUGGUGGUGGAGCUGACUUCCCCACUCACCCACGACCGAGCUGAACUGUCGCCUUCGUCUGCUUCUUCCUGUUUGGUCAGUGGCGGAGGGGCUUCUGUCUCCAUCGACUGUCCAUCAACAACACGACAGAAAUCUCCUGAGUCUGAGGACAGAUUGUCUCCACACCGCAGAGUCUCCGGGUUGGACGCUCUGGACAAAGACACCUGACCUGCAGGCAUAAAGGUAAAAUACCCGGGACUCCCCACCAGUAAUAGAACUGAAGAAGCCCCUUGGAUGAGAGGUGAAACAUCUUCAACCAAGUCCAGUUGCCCUCGAUUAACGCUUUUUGGAAAUAGUCUGAUAGCUUGGGGCAAAAGCUGCUCUGCAGUCUGGUGGUGUGACUGUAGCCCAGAAGGCAGCAGGGUGAACAGGCUGUGGCUGGUUGGAUGUUUAAGCUUCACUGUGCAGACUGAUUUGACAUCAUCAGGCUCCUUUCAUUCAUUUGCAAUUUAUACAAGUGAUGUACCCGCGACCCGACCCCAGAUAAGUGGAUGAAGAUGGAUGGAUGGAUAAGUGAUGUAGAAAUGUGGCAUUGCCAGUGCACUUACACCAAGAGUGGGAUUUACAGUGAUGUAGGAGACAUCUUGUGUCCAGCAGGGAAACUUCAGAAAUCAACAAAAUUUGCAUAUUUAUAGAUUCUGGAGUUUUUAAUGAGCAAGGUGUGGAGACCUUAAGGAUUUUAAUGAGGAAACACAUUUUGCUAUGGAAAACAAAAAACAUCACACAUGUUUCAAGCAGACAAUAUGAUUAAGUACAUGUUAGGAGGGGGUCUUAAAAAAGCAGUUUUGAAUAUUCUCUUUAUGGCCAUUUUGUGUCUGUUAGCCUUUUAACAGUGAUGAAAAACUGAGUUUUUAUGAAUCCGAUCAGUAUCUGCUCAAAUGAUUAUAUAACAUCAAGGAACACAACAUCAUGGUAGCAUCAUAACAUGACCGCAUCACAAGAAAACAACCUGUUAACAAUUAUCAUCUUAUCCUGUGUAAACAACCCUUUGACUUCUCUUGUUUUUAAAUUUUUUUUAUAAAAAGGUAAUAACUGGUACAAAACAAUUUAAUCAUUUGUUUUAUUAACCAAGAAUGACACAAACGAACUGUGACUUUCUACACGACUAAAUGGUUUCUGAGCUUUAGGCUACACUACAGACUUUAAGAGCAGAGACAAAGCAAAUUUUAGGUCUCAUACCAAAAUCAGGCAUCUCCUAUUUCAUUAAAUGAGAUGCUGUAAUGCAUUGUAAAAGCACAAAAGGCUGAACAAUCCCCAUAAAAAUGUCCUCCAUACUUGAAGAUGUUUGGCCUCUCAUCCAGCAAAACCUCUUCUAGUGUCUUCAACCACAUCCAGUUACCCUUGAUUUUAACCUUCCUUGGAUGACUUUACUAUAACUCAAUUAUCAAAAUAGUUGCUGAUGAAUUUUCUGUCAUUCAUUAACUGACUGGGUGCCCUGUUAGCUCACCUGGGAUAACCCUGAGUCCUCUGUUUAUAUUCCAAGCCGUGGCCCUUUGCUGCAUGUCAUCCCCUCUCUCUCAUGCCUUUCCUGUAUCUCUUAAGCUGUCAGUAUCAAAUAAAGGCAAAAAUGCCCCCCAGAAAACAAGAAAUUAACUGAUUAAUAGACUGAUAAAUAAACUCAAUUUGCCUUCUGCACCUUUAGAAAACUUUAACUUUUUUUCCUUUUAAAACUGGAUAUUUACAGAACAUUUUGGAACGAAACCCCCGCUCAUCCACUCUCAGACGUUGGGGUGACAUUUCUUCAUGUGUAAUUUGAGGCUAUAUUUGACGAUGAAGCUCCUGGAGCAGAGUGUGCAGGCGUACGGCCGCUCUCCGGAGUGAACGCUCAGGUGCGACUUCAGAUGAGCUGACUGGGUGAACUUCUUGCCGCACUGGCUGCAACUGAACGGCCUCUCGCCCGUGUGGAUCCGCAUGUGAACUUCCAGGUUCUGAGACGUGGCGUACGUCCUGUUGCAGAUGGAACACACAAAGCGCUUCCCCCGUGCGCCGGCGUUCGGCUGCCCGUUACACAGCUGAGAUCGACCUGACUGAUCCCUGUAGAGGGCAAAGUUCAUCAUGUCGCCGUCAUCGUACUCAAACGCAGAGUUGCUGCUUUCAGACAGCUGGCAGUCUGUGGAAGUCGAGCCUGAGACGCUGAUCAGCUUGAUCCCAAAAGCGUCGCCGUCCACGUUUUCGCUUUGGUGAAACUGAGCAAAAGUCAUCUGACUUUUCGACUGCUUGGUCCACGUCAGGCUGAGGUCUAGUUCUGCUCUGUUUGUAGGUGACUGUGCCUCCAUCAGAGCGCUGUUACCAAAAUACGCUGUUUGUCUGUUAGCGCUAGGCGGGACCAGCGAGCACUCCUGGUGAACCAGCUGGACGUCCGGGUCCAUCUGAGAGGAGUAGGAACAAACCGACUCGCCGGCCUCCAUCUCAUCACCGCCAAGCUGUCCGGAGCAGCCCGGCUCACUGCGAGGAGAGUCCAGCGUGUAGACGGACAAGCUCUUCUUCUGUGUCCCUGCACUCACUUUGGAGGUUUUCAGUGUGAGCUGCUCAGAUGUCUUCCUCUCAGUGUCUUCGCUUCCCGGCCAGUGUCUCUUCAUACUCCGGCUGAUCGGACUCGACGUGGCGCCCUCUCUGGCUGCAGCCGUCCCUCCAUCAGCAGGUGUUUUGUUAUCUGAAGGAAAAAACAAAAUACAUCACAUAGCUGGGGAAAAAAAUGCAUUGCCAGUGCUCUGCAGUCACAUCCUGGUUGCGAGUCACCAAGUCGAGUGUGACCAGAUAUGAAUCGCUACUAUGAACUGGGAGUGUUUAGGUGAUGUGACUCACUGUGUAAUAAUAGCUCAGCAAAGACAAGGACUGGGCUGAAUACAAGCGCAAAUCCAAGUUUGAAAAGUGUAGCACAUGCAGAAGUGCCUUAAACCUGCAUUCUUUGGCCAGCAGGGGGUCAGAUUGUUUAGAAGUCUGAGAAAAUGAAGCUACUUCUCACCUGAUUUAUUACGAAGAAGCCCACUGAGAAUCAUUUAAGGAAGACCUGGCCAAGAAAGGCAGAAGAAUGGAAUUUAAAGGAAUCACUGUCACCAGGAAGUCAUUGCUCGAUCCUAAAGUACUGAAGUGGACCCAAAAUGGCCCACUAUAUUUGAGUGCUCGCAGGCGAACGGCCGCUCUCCGGUGUGAACACUCUGGUGCGUCUUCAGGUGUCCCGACUGCGUGAAACGCUUCCCGCACUGAGCACAGCUGUACGGACGCUCGCCCGUGUGAACACGCACGUGCGUCUCCAGGCUCCGUGACGACGUGAAGCAUUUCCCGCAGUAGCUGCAGACGAAGCGCCUGUCCCUGCAGUACCUGUUAAGGUCCAGCGGGUCCAGUCUGGAUCCCCCGAGACCGAGUGCUAAGGGGAAACUUGCAGCAUUCAGGUCAGAGACUUUGUCCAGGAGUGUUGGCCGGUGGGGGACGGGCACCAUGCUCGGCAGGCUCUGACUGGUCCAUGAAGAGCACAGAUCCAGCUCUGUGUCAUAGGGGAGGGAGUUGAUCAGAGACGCGCCCCGCUUCAGCUCAGAGGUCCCAGGCAGGGGGGUGGGACUUGUUCCAGAGCCAAACAUAAACGGCUUCCUUGUCUGGACUGCAGACGGAGCUUCACAGUCCGACUCUGAGGCCAAGUCAAACACCACAUCUGAAGAAUUUCUCUCAGCGCCCCCUGCAGGGCCUGGAGACCCAGGAGACCCCAGUGCACUGUGGGAUUGUUGAUGCUCGACUCGCUCAGACGGUCCAUUACUGUUCUGAUCCCACAGCCUCACGUCGGCCCCUGAGGUGGAGACCACCAUCCCAGAGGGUCCUUCGUCACUGUCAUCUGUAUCUGACAGCUGCACCUCCGUUCCUUCACACAAACACACCAACAAACACCCAGUGUCAAAUACAGAAGCAGUGACUUCAAGACAAAGACUAGUGUGACAAAAACUACUGUCAAAAUGUCUAUUUUUAAAUAAAACGUAUGCACUA
Micropterus dolomieu (smallmouth bass) is the source of this 4350-nucleotide long non-coding RNA. RefSeq lists it as uncharacterized. The transcript has 9 exons. The record is from RefSeq and is a predicted model, not a curated record. Lineage: Eukaryota; Metazoa; Chordata; Actinopteri; Centrarchiformes; Centrarchidae.